RNAcentral lists this unclassified non-coding RNA (681 nucleotides) under Hevea brasiliensis (rubber tree). The record is from RNAcentral. Lineage: Eukaryota; Viridiplantae; Streptophyta; Magnoliopsida; Malpighiales; Euphorbiaceae.
ACAGCUUUCAAUCAUAUGCACACAAUAUAUCUCCUAAAACUUGAGGACAAGAGAGAGACAAUAAUAGAAGUCCACAGAAAGUUUAACCAUUUUGCACAGUAAACUAUGGCCAAAUCCUGUGCGGAACUGAUACAAGUGGGGCUAAACUGAAUCCUUUUAGUGUCGGUGAAAUGCCAAAAGCACUCCCUCAUGGUUCUAUCACUAUCAUUACAAGAAACUUAUAGUUGAGAAGAGAACUUCACUUGUUUACCAACAUACUGGUGUAAAUUAUGAGAUAUAAUGUGUUAAUAUACUUGCAUCUAGAGGCCUUAAAAAUUGCAAAAUACACCUCAUGUUGCUGGUCAAUUUGUGUCAGGUGACAAUGCAGUUCUUAAUUCCACAAUUACUUAUUUUCCAAUUAUAAAUGAGAAAAAUAUUAAUCGUUUUCAGUUCUGAAUGUUUAAUGCAUUUGCUGACAUCAGUAAACUUUCAAAUUUUGGCCAUGUACUUUGACCCCAGUAACAAUUGUCGCAAGGCCUGGAAAGAGAGAUCAAGAGCAAGCACAUUUACUGAGUUGGCAUCCACAUGACAUGCAAACUUGGAUUUUGACUGAUGGAAUAUUUUUUUUUGUUUAUCUUUAUUUACAAAAUCCCUAAUAAAAGGGUUAUCUUUAUUUUUUCUGCAUAAAAAAAAAGGUCAAAG